This 443-nucleotide ribosomal RNA is filed under the name uncultured bacterium. RNAcentral's name for it is "partial 16S ribosomal RNA". It matches the Rfam family "Bacterial small subunit ribosomal RNA", at positions 338 to 795 of the family's 1533-position model. The record is from RNAcentral.
CCUACGGGAGGCAGCAGUGGGGAAUAUUGCACAAUGGGCGAAAGCCUGAUGCAGCAACGCCGCGUGAAGGAAGACGGUUUUCGGAUUUUAAACUUCUAUCAAUAGGGAAGAAAGAAAUGACGGUACCUAAAUAAGAAGCCACAGCGAACUACGUGCCAGGAGCCGCGGUAAUACGGAGGGGUCAAGCGGUAUCCGGAAUUACUGGGUGUAAAGGGAGAGUAGGCUGCAAGGUAAGCGAUAUGUGAAAGCCUUAAGCUUAACUUAAGGAUUGCAUAACGAACUAUCUAGCUAGAGUACAGGAGAGGAAAGCGGAAUUCCUAGUGUAGCGGUGAAAUGCGUAGAUAUUAGGAAGAACACCAGUGGCGAAGGCGGCUUUCUGGCCUGAAACUGACGCUGAGGCUCGAAAGCGUGGGGAGCGAACAGGAUUAGAUACCCGGGUAGUC